UUUCAUGUCUCAGGCUACUCUACCAGUGGUCCAGGCACGUUGGAAGACACUCUGGCAGGGGGGAAGAUACUCUAGGCUGAUUGAAAAGUGGAUGACUUGACUCUUCUGUAAUGACUACGUUGAGAACAGAAUGGCUUCAGGGAAUACAUUCAGCCAAUCCCCCAAGAACACUGCCCUGGGGUGAAACAAAUACCUUUGCGGUUUAACUCAGGAGGAAUGAGUGCUUCACCAGGUGUUUGGGAGAAAUCUACCCGUGGCCACGGAGGAUUGGAUCCCCUAGAGCCAUGGAGAGUUGGCAGCAAAAUUUUGCCACAGCUUUUUAUCAGGUCUGGUUGAGAGAAAGAGAGAGAGAGAGAAAUCCCCAGAAGGGACAUGUAAAUCAUGUGUGAAGUUGACUGAAGAUCAUUUUUGACAUCACUUGCCAUAUUACACUGUCUGUGGCUGUUCCCCUUCUCUACAAGGUAAGAGAUUUAUUUUGAUUUGUCUACUCACAGAAAAAAAAAAGACAUAUGAUGAUGGGG
This 521-nucleotide long non-coding RNA is filed under the name Phascolarctos cinereus (koala). RNAcentral describes it as "lncRNA (ENSPCIG00000013696.2)". The stretch from base 68 to 202 matches the Rfam family "Rhabdomyosarcoma 2 associated transcript conserved region 2". Lineage: Eukaryota; Metazoa; Chordata; Mammalia; Diprotodontia; Phascolarctidae. The record is from RNAcentral.